This 433-nucleotide ribosomal RNA is filed under the name uncultured bacterium. Its description in RNAcentral is "partial 16S ribosomal RNA". It matches the Rfam family "Bacterial small subunit ribosomal RNA", at positions 29 to 507 of the family's 1533-position model. The record is from RNAcentral.
AGCGAACGCUGGCGGCAGGCCUAACACAUGCAAGUCGAACGGAUCCUUCGGGAUUAGUGGCGGACGGGUGAGUAACACGUGGGAACGUGCCCUUUGGUUCGGAACAACUCAGGGAAACUUGAGCUAAUACCGGAUGUGCCCUUCGGGGGAAAGAUUUAUCGCCAUUGGAGCGGCCCGCGUCUGAUUAGCUAGUUGGUGAGGUAACGGCCCACCAAGGCGACGAUCAGUAGCUGGUCUGAGAGGAUGAUCAGCCACACUGGGACUGAGACACGGCCCAGACUCCUACGGGAAGCGGCAGUGGGGAAUCUUGCGCAAUGGGCGAAAGCCUGACGCAGCCAUGCCGCGUGAAUGAUGAAGGUCUUAGGAUUGUAAAAUUCUUUCAGCGGGGACGAUAAUGACGGUACCCGCAGAAGAAGCUCCGGCUAACUUCGUG